UUAAUCAAACAGUUAAGUAAAUUGCAUUCACGAUUCAUGAAAUCACAACUGGAAGUAAUCAAUUCAUAUUGCAAAUAUGUUCAUGGCUUUGAAUUUCCCCCUAACUAAAACGAGUUUAGCUCCUUAUGUUCGCAAUUAAACAAAGACAAUUAAAUUUAAACAUUAAAACAAUGGAUAGAAUACACCUAGAAAUGCUCCAACAAUCCAACAUCUUGAAUGGAAAGCACGGCUCCAAGGGUCUUCUCUCCUUUCUCCUUGCAAAUUUGCGGCACAAUGGGAUGAAUGUGUAUGGGUGUAUAUGGCACGAAUUUGUAGUGAAUGGUGGUAGUGGGUGGUGAUCUGAAUGAAUGCUGCAGCAAUUAUAUUUAUAGGGAGAAAAGGCACGGCCUAGGUAGCAUUGGAAAAGGAUUGGCACUCCAAAACCCAAGUGGAAUGGGUUAAAACAAUCAGAAACCAAGGGAAAUUAGGAUGACACAUCAAAAACCAUCAGGAACAAGGAUAUAAGGUGCGGCACAACUAGGAAAAGGGGUUUUAGAAGGGGUUAGGGCGCCACUUUUGUAAGGAGAGGAGAUAAGGCUUCUAGAAUCUGAAAUAUGUAUUUUAAAUGCAUAAUUAUCCCUUAUAAAUGGCUGGAAUUAAGGCACAAACUGAUUUAGAUAAGAUAAGAUUGGAUAAUGCUAGAUUAGGAAAUGAUAAGAUAAGAUAAGGUUAGUUGGGAUAAGAUAAGGUUGGAUAAGGUUUUGGAUAAUGACUCUUUCUUUUGAGCUGAUUCCUUAUCUUCUUUGUCUUGGAUUUAUUUUCUUCAUCUUUUCAACACAUUCCUAGUCUCUUGAACUUCAAAUUUGUCCAUCCAUCUUGCUCCACUCAUAAGCUAUCCAUUUGAUGCCCAAAACUGCCUCAAAAUGCUCCAAAUUGCACUUUCUUACCAACUUUGUUAUUUGGACCUACAAACACAUGAAAAUAGCUUAAAACACUAUAAUAAACACAAACUAACUAUGAAAAUGCAAGAAAACAAGCUAACUAAGUCGCAUAAAUAUACUCCUAUCAGGUACAUGCCAAAUUGGCAAAAGAAUCCAGGGCAUGAAGAUGGUUUUGAUUGGGAGGCUUAAAUUGUGGUAGGUAUGAAGGCCUUUGACUGUGUUUAACCGAA
RNAcentral lists this long non-coding RNA (1150 nucleotides) under Malus domestica (apple). RNAcentral's name for it is "long non-coding RNA (MDOM_LNC016795)". The record is from RNAcentral. Lineage: Eukaryota; Viridiplantae; Streptophyta; Magnoliopsida; Rosales; Rosaceae.